This 309-nucleotide ribosomal RNA is filed under the name uncultured bacterium. Its description in RNAcentral is "bacterial SSU rRNA". It matches the Rfam family "Bacterial small subunit ribosomal RNA", at positions 30 to 334 of the family's 1533-position model. The record is from RNAcentral.
AUUGAACGCUGGCGGCAGGCCUAAGACAUGCAAGUCGAACGGUAACGACACUAGCUUGCUAGUGGUCGACGAGUGGCGGACGGGUGAGUAACGCGUAGGAAUCUACCUAGUAGUGGGGGAUAGCCAAGGGAAACUUUGGGUAAUACCGCAUACGAUCUAAGGAUGAAAGGGGGCCUCUCUUUGAAGCUCUCGCUAUUAGAUGAGCCUGCGUAAGAUUAGCUUGUUGGUGGGGUAAUGGCCCACCAAGGCGACGAUCUUUAGCUGGUCUGAGAGGAUGAUCAGUCACACUGGAACUGAGACACGGUCCAG